RNAcentral lists this ribosomal RNA (418 nucleotides) under uncultured Barnesiella sp. RNAcentral describes it as "bacterial SSU rRNA". It matches the Rfam family "Bacterial small subunit ribosomal RNA", at positions 354 to 768 of the family's 1533-position model. The record is from RNAcentral. Lineage: Bacteria; Pseudomonadati; Bacteroidota; Bacteroidia; Bacteroidales; Barnesiellaceae.
UGAGGGAAUAUUGGGUCAAUGGGGUGGAAGCCUGAACCAGCCAAGUAGCGUGCAGGACGACGGCCCUAUGGGUUGUAAACCUCUUUUGUCGGGGAGUAACGUGCGGGACGGGUCCCGUAUUGAGAGUACCCGAAGAAAAAGCAUCGGCUAACUCCGUGCCAGCAGCCGCGGUAAUACGGAGGAUGCGAGCGUUAUCCGGAUUUAUUGGGUUUAAAGGGUGCGCAGGCGGCGCGCCAAGUCAGCGGUCAAAGUUCCGGGCUCAACCCGGUGUCGCCGUUGAAACUGGCGUGCUCGAGUGCGUGCGAGGAAGGCGGAAUGCGUUGUGUAGCGGUGAAAUGCAUAGAUAUGACGCAGAACUCCGAUUGCGAAGGCAGCUUUCCAGCGCGCUACUGACGCUGAGGCACGAAAGCGUGGGGAU